GAUGAACGCUGGCGGCGUGCCUAAUACAUGCAAGUCGAGCGAACAGACGAGGGGCUUGCUCCUUUGACGUUAGCGGCGAACGGGUGAGUAACACGUGGGUAACCUACCUAUAAGACUGGGAUAACUUCGGGAAACCGGAGCUAAUACCGGAUAAUAUUUCGAACCGCAUGGUUCGAUAGUGAAAGAUGGCUUUGCUAUCACUUAUAGAUGGACCUGCGCCGUAUUAGCUAGUUGGUAAGGUAACGGCUUACCAAGGCAACGAUACGUAGCCGACCUGAGAGGGUGAUCGGCCACACUGGAACUGAGACACGGUCCAGACUCCUACGGGAGGCAGCAGUAGGGAAUCUUCCGCAAUGGGCGAAAGCCUGACGGAGCAACGCCGCGUGAGUGAUGAAGGUCUUCGGAUCGUAAAACUCUGUUAUUAGGGAAGAACAAACGUGUAAGUAACUGUGCACGUCUUGACGGUACCUAAUCAGAAAGCCACGGCUAACUACGUG
This 497-nucleotide ribosomal RNA is filed under the name uncultured bacterium. Its description in RNAcentral is "partial 16S ribosomal RNA". It matches the Rfam family "Bacterial small subunit ribosomal RNA", at positions 28 to 507 of the family's 1533-position model. The record is from RNAcentral.